Non-coding RNA from Cephalotrichum gorgonifer, 146 nucleotides. The record is from the annotation of a GenBank genome assembly. Lineage: Eukaryota; Fungi; Ascomycota; Sordariomycetes; Microascales; Microascaceae.
GGUAGCUUGGCCGAGGGGUUAAGGCGCCAGAUUUAAGUUACGGGGCCCAUGCGGGUACCCCAAAACCGCCCGACAAGGACUCUAGAAGCCUUUCGGGAAAAUCUCUGGUCUCGAAAGAGUCGCGCGUUCGAAUCGCGCAGCUACCA